Molecule: ribosomal RNA, 253 nt
Filed under: uncultured bacterium
Lineage: Bacteria
Description: partial 16S ribosomal RNA
Rfam family: Bacterial small subunit ribosomal RNA
Source: RNAcentral
UACGAAGGGGGCUAGUGUUGCUCGGAAUCACUGGGCGUAAAGCGCACGUAGGCGGAUUGUUAAGUCAGGGGUGAAAUCCUGGAGCUCAACUCCAGAACUGCCUUUGAUACUGGCGAUCUUGAGUCCGGGAGAGGUGAGUGGAACUGCGAGUGUAGAGGUGAAAUUCGUAGAUAUUCGCAAGAACACCAGUGGCGAAGGCGGCUCACUGGCCCGGUACUGACGCUGAGGUGCGAAAGCGUGGGGAGCAAACAGG